This 247-nucleotide ribosomal RNA is filed under the name uncultured bacterium. RNAcentral's name for it is "partial 16S ribosomal RNA". It matches the Rfam family "Bacterial small subunit ribosomal RNA", at positions 523 to 769 of the family's 1533-position model. The record is from RNAcentral.
AUACGUAGGUGGCAAGCGUUAUCCGGAUUUAUUGGGCGUAAAGCGAGCGCAGGCGGUUUUUUAAGUCUGAUGUGAAAGCCUUCGGCUCAACCGAAGAAGGGCAUCGGAAACUGGGAGACUUGAGUGCAGAAGAGGAGAGUGGAACUCCAUGUGUAGCGGUGAAAUGCGUAGAUAUAUGGAAGAACACCAGUGGCGAAGGCGGCUGUCUAGUCUGUAACUGACGCUGAGGCUCGAAAGCAUGGGUAGC